Molecule: long non-coding RNA, 380 nt
Filed under: Elaeis guineensis (African oil palm)
Lineage: Eukaryota; Viridiplantae; Streptophyta; Magnoliopsida; Arecales; Arecaceae
Description: long non-coding RNA (EGUI_LNC039365)
Source: RNAcentral
AUGGGAUAUAGGUAUAAGUGUCCCUUAGACCUGAGAUCGCCUCAGUGACUUGCAAGCAACUCACUGUGCUUUGGUACUGGACUAACUGAAUUUCUAAUUCAGGGAUGGAAGGCUUCUGGGCACAGUCAAGUACUUGUAAAGUCAGAGUAUGAUCGAGAUGGGAUUGACCACUCCAAGAGUUGGAGAAGAAUGAGUCGCUGUAUUUCAAUUUAGCAAAACCUUGGCCAGGGUAAUCCAUCAGAUGGAUUUGAUAUUUUGAAAUACAAUGUGGACAACCUGAUCAGAGUUGAUAGUUAAACUCUGGGGUGUCCUAUGAUCAUUUUGGUCAAGGGGAUGAAUUAUAUAAAAACUAUAUCCGCAUGGGUUCUAAGGAUGUUGUU